AUUUAAAUAGCUUAUGGGGUAAAGUUUUAUAUUGAAGAUAUAAGGAAAUUUUAAAAAUUUUAAAUA
RNAcentral lists this transfer RNA (66 nucleotides) under Vollenhovia emeryi. RNAcentral describes it as "tRNA-Phe". Lineage: Eukaryota; Metazoa; Arthropoda; Insecta; Hymenoptera; Formicidae. The record is from RNAcentral.